AUGGUGCCCAGCGGGAAUGGCAAGAUCUUGAAGCCCCACUUCCACACGCACUGUGCAGCGGCUGAAGGGGUACCGCUCCAAACUCAUCCUCUUCCCCAGGAAGCCCUCGGUCCCCAGGAAGGGAGACAGUUCUGCUGAAGAACUGCAAUUGGCCACCCAGCUGACAGGACCAGUCAUGCCCAUCCAGAAUGUCUAUGAGAAGGAGAAAGCUCAAGUCACCACUGAGGAGAAGAAUUUCAGAGCCUUUGCUAGUUGCUGCAUGGCCCGUGCCAAUGCCUGGCUCCUCCACAUAUGGACAAAAAGAGACAUGGAAGCUACAGAACAGGAUGUUGAAAAGAAA
This 340-nucleotide long non-coding RNA is filed under the name Homo sapiens (human). RNAcentral's name for it is "non-protein coding lnc-KIN-6:1". Lineage: Eukaryota; Metazoa; Chordata; Mammalia; Primates; Hominidae. The record is from RNAcentral.